RNAcentral lists this long non-coding RNA (917 nucleotides) under Elaeis guineensis (African oil palm). RNAcentral describes it as "long non-coding RNA (EGUI_LNC053050)". The record is from RNAcentral. Lineage: Eukaryota; Viridiplantae; Streptophyta; Magnoliopsida; Arecales; Arecaceae.
UUUCCUUUUUUUUCUUUUCUUUUUCUUUUCUUUUCCUUCUUCUUUUCUUCUUUUUCCGUGGAUUUCUUUUGGGCCGAAACAGGGACCGUGAGGUCCCCUCGUUGGUGUUCCGACCAGCGGCGCAGUCAGCGUGGGGCGGCUGUCGGCAGGAGGAGAGCGACCCAACGAUGAGAAGAGGGCCAAAACCGGUGGUCGGCGGUGACCACUGACGUCAGAAAAACGGCAAAAAGAAAGGUUCUUCCGCAACAAAAUCCGGCGACUCCGGUCGCCGACGAGCGUGCACAUCGGCACGAGAAGGAAAGGGGAGAAGAGAGGAAGGGGAGGAGGCUUACCUCCGACGCCGGCGAAGCUUUUCCGGCAAGCAAUUGGACGGGCACAGGGACGGUCUUCCGCGGGAAUUUUUCGGUGAUUGCCGCCGACUGGACUUAGAAUCCUCGGUGGAAGGAAGAGAGGAGGGAUCUCCUCCUUAAAUAGAGCCAGAGGGAGCUCGUCUCCGACUCCGAUUGGGAGCCGACGAGAGGAGGAAGAAGACUCCUCUCCCCUAUUUCCUUUUUUUUUUUUUGGGCUUUGUUACAUGGGCUGGGAUUCUCACUCGGGUUGGGCCAUCACAUUCUUCCCCUCUAAAAGAAAUUUCGUCCUCGAAAUUUUCUUGCUUGAGUCUUCAUAGUUUCUUACUUGAAUCUCAUCCAUAAAUAUUUUAAUAUUCUAAUUCUUGAUAUGAAUUCAUUCUUAAAUCAUUUCAUAAGGAAAAAAUCAAUACAUCAAAUAUUGAUCUGAAAUGGAACAAUUUAUUUUCUUAUUUAUCAAAACCAACGUCUCAAAGAUUUUCAAUAUUUCAAGAUUUCGAAAUUAUGAUCUCAUUUUCUGUAAAAAUUAAUAUUCAAUAUCUCAUGACUCAAAUUAAAAUCAAAUCUACC